CCUCACUGCUCCGGGCCAGACAGCUACACCGCAGAACAAGAUGGAAAAGAAAGCCUUCCUUCAUUAGACAUGUGGCUUCUUCCCCGAGUUAUGGUUGAGACAAUUUAAACUGCCUUUGGAAACUGAUUCUCGGGUGCUCUACAGCUCAGAUUGCCAAUAGGAGUCAGAAAGAGAAGAAAGACAGGAGUGAUGGGAUCUGAUGAAAAAGAGACAAAAAGACCCUGCCUGUACUGGAAAGUUUCCAUAUAAUCUAAGGUUGGACCUCCCUCGUCUUGCACCGUCAGGACCUGACCAGCCCUGAACAAAAGAAUUUGCUGGCCCAGGGAUGGUCUUUUGCCACCAGCCCCAAGCCCCAUCGCCUGCCACUGCCAGGCUACCCCAUCAAGCACUCUGCCUCACCUACCUCUCUCCAACCUGCCUGGGCUGCUUGCCAAGCUGCUGCCGGCUCCCUGGGCUGCACAGGCUCACUCCUGCUGUGUGGUUCGAGCCCCACACAUCCAGGGACAAUGGUGAGGCUCCGGGCCUGGCUCCACACUCCAGUGGGCUGCUGCGGGACUCCAGCCUUUGUCCCCCAGAUGAGCUGCUGACUCUGUUGCCCCUGCCCAGCUGUCCUUCCUGCCCUUAGGCUCCCAAGCUCUUUGCUCCAGAAGCACCUGUGAUCCUGCCGGAUGAGGGUUAUUGCUGGACCAAAGAGUGCCCAUUUUUAGAGGUACAACCUUUACUGCCAAUGGUCAAAAUUUUCCAGUUGGGCUGCCUAAAGUUAGACAUCUAAAUAAAAUUGGGUGGCGUCUUGAGUACUGAAACAUACAAACAACUCCCAUUGAAGUUAAGAGGCCUGAAAGUCUUUUGCAUCUAGGUAAAUCAGGCCAUAUUUAUGUAAGUGUCUAAACAGGGAUUUAAAUGCCUAAUCUCUGGGUAUGUCUACACUACAAAGUUAGUUCGAACUAACUUUC
Molecule: non-coding RNA, 953 nt
Organism: Pelodiscus sinensis (Chinese soft-shelled turtle)
Lineage: Eukaryota; Metazoa; Chordata; Testudines; Trionychidae
Source: RefSeq, a predicted model, not a curated record